CACAAGUCCUGUGUGAGUAAGACUCCAAAUUAUUCUGUCUUGUUUUACUCAAUGGUAUGCUCUACCUUAUUAUAGAGUAUACCAUGUAUUGAGACAAGAAUGCCAGUCAUUCUGAGAAACAAAAUGCAACCAUUAGUUGUCAUUUUAAUUAGUGACGAAUAGUUGUGUCAAUCAUCAAACAUGCUUGUAUAAUUGGAUGAGAAGAGGUGUAACACGGGCCAAUGAUGACGAGGUUUCGGGAUUAUAAGUCACGGACGAUGACUACGUCACUAGAGGUCUGAGGUCCAUAGCAGAAGAUGCCUCAUGUGACCCUCUCAUGCAGGGGUUGCAUGUCAGGCAUGUGCAUACAGUAGAUAUUAGCCAUGCACUCUCACCAUUUCAUAGUAGAUCACAGAAUCAAGAUACAAAUCUCCAUGCACGGAAAGGAUUUAAGGCAUUGAUCAAUCCUGAACAUAAAUAUUUGGCCAUCAAUGAUAUUUACGCACACACUGAAAAAUCUAUUCAGAAUGACUUACACAAAGGUUUAUAUAACCUUUAUCAAAGGUAAUUUAUAUAGUAAGAUUCAUGGCUGAAGUCUUCAUGAUGGUCAAGGCCUUAAUUUUUAAAAUUAUCAAUUUUUUUCUUUUCUUUUUUUUUAACUUGAAUUUUUUUUUAAUGAAAACUAUCAUGACAAUUUGUCUCUUAAAUGAAAGGAGAAAUGUAAAACUAAAUGGACAAAUAUCAACCUUUUUAUUAUCUUUGCUGUUGUGCCCUCCCUGGAUGGGUGCUGGCACAUGAUGUCUUGCCUGCUGGUCCGUGGUUGCACUCUCACCAUGUGGAUGGAGCUCGGCAGCUGAAAAUGCAUUCUUCCACCAAGAUGAUUUACACAGCCUAGCUGGAUCAGGAGCCCCCUAAUAAGCUGCUUCAGAUUGUAAUAUAGACACAGUGUAAGUACAGUCCAUAUUCUGCUGUCGCUUCAUGUUGCAUUUAAAGGCCAUUUACUGUAUUGAUAAGGGCACUAUCUGUUUUAGGAAGAACAGUCAAGUAAAGGCUGCGUAUGGCAUGUGUUUGACGCACAAGGUUUAAUGAAGUUGUUUCAAAUUAAGGAUAUGUAUUGAAAACUGCUUCAUAACUCAAAAAGAAACUGAGGAACUCUGAAGUUUACUGGAAUCUCUUGUCUUUAGUUUUUUGGUGUUUUUUUGGUGGUUUUUUUGUUUUUGUUUUUGUUUUUUUUUUUUGUGAAUCACAAUGAUCCCA
Molecule: long non-coding RNA, 1236 nt
Filed under: Mus musculus (house mouse)
Lineage: Eukaryota; Metazoa; Chordata; Mammalia; Rodentia; Muridae
Description: RNA imprinted and accumulated in nucleus
Rfam family: Small nucleolar RNA SNORD113/SNORD114 family (bases 215-288)
Source: RNAcentral